CAAGCCUGAUCCAGCCAUACCGCGUGGGUGAAGAAGGCCUUCGGGUUGUAAAGCCCUUUUGUUGGGAAAGAAAAGCAUUCGGUUAAUACCCGAUUGUUCUGACGGUACCCAAAGAAUAAGCACCGGCUAACUUCGUGCCAGCAGCCGCGGUAAUACGAAGGGGGCUAGCGUUGCUCGGAAUCACUGGGCGUAAAGCGCACGUAGGCGGAUCGUUAAGUCAGGGGUGAAAUCCUGGGGCUCAACCUCAGAACUGCCCUUGAUACUGGCGAUCUCGAGUUCGAGAGAGGUUGGUGGAACUCCGAGUGUAGAGGUGAAAUUCGUAGAUAUUCGGAAGAACACCAGUGGCGAAGGCGGCCAACUGGCUCGAUACUGACGCUGAGGUGCGAAAGCGUGGGGAGCAAACA
Molecule: ribosomal RNA, 404 nt
Filed under: uncultured Xanthobacter sp.
Lineage: Bacteria; Pseudomonadati; Pseudomonadota; Alphaproteobacteria; Hyphomicrobiales; Xanthobacteraceae
Description: bacterial SSU rRNA
Rfam family: Bacterial small subunit ribosomal RNA
Source: RNAcentral